AUGGGAUACGAACCCACACCUGAAAACUCAAAAUUUCCCGUACUACCAUUAUACUUCCUCCUAGUAAAGUC
RNAcentral lists this transfer RNA (71 nucleotides) under Trachylepis wahlbergii (Wahlberg's striped skink). Its description in RNAcentral is "tRNA-Gln". The record is from RNAcentral. Lineage: Eukaryota; Metazoa; Chordata; Lepidosauria; Squamata; Scincidae.